UAGAGUUUGAUCCUGGCUCAGAAUCAACGCUGGCGGCGUGCCUCAGACAUGCAAGUCGAACGCGAAAGUUCCCUUCGGGGAGCGAGUAGAGUGGCGCACGGGUGAGUAACACGUAGGUAAUCUACCUUUGGAUGGGGAAUAACAACCGGAAACGGUUGCUAAUACCGCAUAAUGCAGCGGCACCUAAUGGUGACAGUUGUUAAAGCGGGGGAUCGUAAGACCUCGCGUCUGAAGAGGAGCCUGCGGCAGAUUAGCUAGUUGGUAAGGUAACGGCUUACCAAGGCGAUGAUCUGUAGCCGGCCUGAGAGGGCGGUCGGCCACACUGACACUGACAUACGGGUCAGACUCCUACGGGAGGCAGCAGUCGGGAAUUUUGCGCAAUGGGCGAAAGCCUGACGCAGCGACGCCGCGUGCGGGAAGAAGGCCUUCG
Molecule: ribosomal RNA, 430 nt
Filed under: uncultured Acidobacteriota bacterium
Lineage: Bacteria; Pseudomonadati; Acidobacteriota
Description: bacterial SSU rRNA
Rfam family: Bacterial small subunit ribosomal RNA
Source: RNAcentral